CUUGGUGUUACUGCGAAGGGGGGACGGAGAAGGCUAUGUUGGCCGGGCGACGGUUGUCCCGGUUUAAGCGUGUAGGUGUGUGUUCCAGGUAAAUCCGGUUCACUUUAACACUGAGGCGUGACGACGAGGCACUACGGUGCUGAAGCAACAAAUGCCCUGCUUCCAGGAAAAGCCUCUAAGCAUCAGGUAACAUCAAAUCGUACCCCAAACCGACACAGGUGGUCAGGUAGAGAAUACCAAGGCGCUUGAGAGAACUCGGGUGAAGGAACUAGGCAAAAUGGUGCCGUAACUUCGGGAGAAGGCACGCUGACACGUAGGUGAAGUGAUUUACUCAUGGAGCUGAAGUCAGUCGAAGAUACCAGCUGGCUGCAACUGUUUAUUAAAAACACAGCACUGUGCAAACACGAAAGUGGACGUAUACGGUGUGACGCCUGCCCGGUGCCGGAAGGUUAAUUGAUGGGGUCAGCGCAAGCGAAGCUCCUGAUCGAAGCCCCGGUAAACGGCGGCCGUAACUAUAACGGUCCUAAGGUAGCGAAAUUCCUUGUCGGGUAAGUUCCGACCUGCACGAAUGGCGUAAUGAUGGCCAGGCUGUCUCCACCCGAGACUCAGUGAAAUUGAACUCGCUGUGAAGAUGCAGUGUACCCGCGGCAAGACGGAAAGACCCCGUGAACCUUUACUAUAGCUUGACACUGAACAUUGAGCCUUGAUGUGUAGGAUAGGUGGGAGGCUUUGAAGUGUGGACGCCAGUCUGCAUGGAGCCGACCUUGAAAUACCACCCUUUAAUGUUUGAUGUUCUAACGUGGACCCGUUACCCGGGUUGCGGACAGUGUCUGGUGGGUAGUUUGACUGGGGCGGUCUCCUCCUAAAGAGUAACGGAGGAGCACGAAGGUUGGCUAAUCCUGGUCGGACAUCAGGAGGUUAGUGCAAUGGCAUAAGCCAGCUUGACUGCGAGCGUGACGGCGCGAGCAGGUGCGAAAGCAGGUCAUAGUGAUCCGGUGGUUCUGAAUGGAAGGGCCAUCGCUCAACGGAUAAAAGGUACUCCGGGGAUAACAGGCUGAUACCGCCCAAGAGUUCAUAUCGACGGCGGUGUUUGGCACCUCGAUGUCGGCUCAUCACAUCCUGGGGCUGAAGUAGGUCCCAAGGGUAUGGCUGUUCGCCAUUUAAAGUGGUACGCGAGCUGGGUUUAGAACGUCGUGAGACAGUUCGGUCCCUAUCUGCCGUGGGCGCUGGAGAACUGAGGGGGGCUGCUCCUAGUACGAGAGGACCGGAGUGGACGCAUCACUGGUGUUCGGGUUGUCAUGCCAAUGGCACUGCCCGGUAGCUAAAUGCGGAAGAGAUAAGUGCUGAAAGCAUCUAAGCACGAAACUUGCCCCGAG
Molecule: ribosomal RNA, 1376 nt
Filed under: Salmonella enterica subsp. enterica serovar Enteritidis
Lineage: Bacteria; Pseudomonadati; Pseudomonadota; Gammaproteobacteria; Enterobacterales; Enterobacteriaceae
Description: partial 23S ribosomal RNA
Rfam family: Bacterial large subunit ribosomal RNA
Source: RNAcentral